UGUGAAAGUUGCUCUUAAAAGAAGAUGAAAGUGAAAGUAGUAGACGAUUCAAUUUACAGCCCAUGAAACGUGGAGCCCACCCAAUUCAUACUUCAUAGCCCUAAAGGCGGUAGAACAGAAAAAUUUCAAUUUACAAUAAAUCUGGACUCCAUUUGGUACAGUUCAAGUUUAAUCUAGGAACCUUAGGCUUUCGUUUUUUUUUUCAACAAAGGGAGGAAAAAGACGAAGAUCAAGCUAGGUUAUUUUAAAUUCGGAAUUUCCCCCAUCUAAAGAUGCUUCCCCUCUUUUUGCUCAAGACUGCACAGGGGCAUCCUAUGGUAAGCUUUUGAAUUCAUGUGGAAGAGGGGUAGUGUCUCUUUUUUUUCUC
Molecule: long non-coding RNA, 367 nt
Organism: Solanum tuberosum (potato)
Lineage: Eukaryota; Viridiplantae; Streptophyta; Magnoliopsida; Solanales; Solanaceae
Exons: 3
Source: RefSeq, a predicted model, not a curated record